Pipistrellus kuhlii (Kuhl's pipistrelle) is the source of this 967-nucleotide long non-coding RNA. RefSeq lists it as uncharacterized. The record is from RefSeq and is a predicted model, not a curated record. Lineage: Eukaryota; Metazoa; Chordata; Mammalia; Chiroptera; Vespertilionidae. The transcript has 2 exons.
GUGUGUGUGUGUGCAUGCAGGCACAAGCGGAUGACUCAGUGGUGAUGGCAUAUGUAUACACCCAGGACAGUUGAUAAUAGUAAAGGACAUUGACUACACUGCCUUGCAGCUACCGAAGGUCAUGAGGGCUGUGGAAGCCAAGACAGAUCUUCCCCUUUCAAUCUGAGUCAUUUCCUGAGACAGAUGUUGGUCAUUCAUUCAUUUGUUCGUUAACAAAUAUUUAUUGAGUGUCUGCCAUGUGUUCGGCACUGAACUAUAGGUUAGGCAUACUGUGUGAACAAACCAAAGUCCCUGUUUUCACUCUGCAAGCAAAGGCGGGGCCACGAGACAGGAAGCUGGGCCGAUGGUGGUGGUUUGUAUGAGGGUGGAAGUGUGGUAGAAGUAGUGAGCAGUGAUCAGAACUUCAAUAUAAUUUGAAGGUCAGGCCAACUGGAUUUGCUGAUGAAUGCAUAAGGGGUGUGAGAUGGCAAAAAAGAGAGGAGUCCAGGUUUUUGGCUUGAACAACUGGAAGGAGCUUGUGCCACUUAAUGAGAAGGGGAAGAUGUUAUGGCCAGUCAUGGUUUCCUGAGAGGCUGUGAAGUCGACUGUCCGCAUUCAGGUCUGUUUGACUUUGGCUCCAAGCUGCCACUAGGACACUUCCUUACCAGAUGGAGGGUUCCGACAGGAGGAGGCACCAUCCAUCUGACUGGGCCCAAUCCCUCAUGUAUCAGGUCACCGAGGGCCUCAGGUGCCACCUGUCUAUAGCCUUCCCCCCUCCCCCCAGGUGCCAGUUCCUGGGCGUGGUGCUUGAUCCUGGCAGAUCCUGGCUGAAGCCAGCUGGAGCCAGGGACUCCCACUGUGCCCCAGCUGCCGCCUGCCCUCCCACCCACAGGCAGAGGAACAAGCUUAACCCUUUGGACACCAUACAGGUAGCCAGAGUUUGUGGUUGCAUUCUAGCUCUUGAGUAUUACACUGUUCCAGCACACUU